GCGGAAGGAUCAUUAUUGAAACUUUGGAAAUAGUAUUGUUGCUGGCCUUUUAAUCGGGUAUGUGCACAUACUAUUUCUGAUCUUAUUCAUCCACCUGUGCAUUUAUUGUAGGAAGGUCUUUUAAAAAGGUUGGCUUUGUUAACAGAGUCAAACUUGGAUAAAAAGGGCUUUUCCUAUGUUCUUAUAAAUCUCUUGAAGUAUGUUUUUGAAUGUCUUUUAUUGGGUACUUUAUUGUUCCCUUUAAACUUGUACAACUUUUAGCAACGGAUCUCUUGGCUCUCCCAUCGAUGAAGAACGCAGCGAAAUGCGAUAAGUAAUGUGAAUUGCAGAAUUCAGUGAAUCAUCGAAUCUUUGAACGCACCUUGCGCCCUCUGGUAUUCCGGAGGGCAUGCCUGUUUGAGUGUCAUUAAAUUCUCAACUCUAAAAGCUUUUUUUAAGCUUAUUAGUGCUUGGAUGUUGGGAGCUUGCUGGUGUCUUUAGGACGUUCGGCUCUCCUUAAAUUUAUUAGUGGAAGUCUCUUUGUUGGAGUUCAUCCUUGGUGUGAUAAUUAUCUACGCUUUGGAUAGUCCAAUGUUUCCAUUGAGACAGUUGAAUGCCAUAUUUCUGGUGUUUUUCUGGCUUUUGUGGUAUUGCAACUUUGUUUGCUUUACUUGAAAUCUCAGAGGAAAAAGUGAAGUCUCUGCUUUCUAACAGUCCAUUCUAUUGUGGACAACUUAUUGACUAUUUGACCUCAAA
Molecule: ribosomal RNA, 735 nt
Filed under: Gymnopus polyphyllus
Lineage: Eukaryota; Fungi; Basidiomycota; Agaricomycetes; Agaricales; Omphalotaceae
Description: eukaryotic LSU rRNA
Rfam family: 5.8S ribosomal RNA (bases 253-406)
Source: RNAcentral